RNAcentral lists this ribosomal RNA (253 nucleotides) under uncultured prokaryote. RNAcentral describes it as "partial 16S ribosomal RNA". It matches the Rfam family "Bacterial small subunit ribosomal RNA", at positions 524 to 776 of the family's 1533-position model. The record is from RNAcentral.
UACGUAGGGUGCGAGCGUUAAUCGGAAUUACUGGGCGUAAAGGGCGCGUAGGCGGCCUACUAAGUCGAACGUGAAAUCCCCGGGCUCAACCCGGGAACUGCGUCCGAUACUGGUUGGCUUGAAUCCGGGAGAGGGAUGCGGAAUUCCAGGUGUAGCGGUGAAAUGCGUAGAUAUCAAGAGGAACACCUGAGGUGAAGACGGGUUGCUGGGCUGACACUGACGCUGAGGCGCGAAAGCCAGGGGAGCAAACGGG